GAUUAUGGCUCAGGAUGAACGCUAGCGGCAGGCUUAACACAUGCAAGUCGAGGGGUAACAGGGAGUAGCAAUACUCCGCUGACGACCGGCGCACGGGUGCGUAACGCGUAUGCAACCUACCUGUAACAGGGGGAUAACGGAGAGAAAUUUCCACUAAUACCCCAUAUGGUCAGAGAAUCGCAUGUUUUUCUGACGAAAGCUUCGGUGGUUACGGAUGGGCAUGCGUGACAUUAGCUAGUUGGUGGGCAACGGCCCACCAAGGCGACGAUGUCUAGGGGAGCUGAGAGGCUUAUCCCCCACACUGGUACUGAGACACGGACCAGACUCCUACGGGAGGCAGCAGUGAGGAAUAUUGGUCAAUGGACGGAAGUCUGAACCAGCCAUGCCCGCGUGGAGGAAGAAGGUCCUAUGGGUUGUAAACUCCUUUUGUUCCGGAGUAAUAAGGUCUUUGCGAAGACCGAUGAGAGUACGGGACGAAUAAGCAUCGGCUAACUCCGUGCCAGCCGCGGC
RNAcentral lists this ribosomal RNA (510 nucleotides) under uncultured bacterium. RNAcentral's name for it is "bacterial SSU rRNA". It matches the Rfam family "Bacterial small subunit ribosomal RNA", at positions 15 to 518 of the family's 1533-position model. The record is from RNAcentral.